AAGCUCCCUCCAAGCUUCAGGAGUUCCUGAAGGUCUUCCUCAGCUAAACCAGUGGACAGCUUCUGAAGCACUUUCCUGUGUUUCUAGGUUAUUUGGUAAUUAAACAAACCUGCCUUUGAGAGGAAGGUCAUGCAAUUGUUCUGAGGAAAACAAGACAACUUCUCCAAGCUCCCGAUAGUGUCUGCUGCCCUCUCAUUGCAUUUUACAUAUUUAAAGCCUAACUUUCAUCACAAGAGAGGUGGGCAUUUUGAAGGCCAAGCACGAAAGGAAGCAAGAGGAGACUUCUUUGAAGUCCUUCUUUCUCCCCAUGCUCAGCAGACGUCUCUACUUGCAAGCUGAGGAUGCUAACAUCAUGGUCUCAAAUUAAAACCUGAAAAUCCACAGAAGAAAUGUGCAUUUUAGUCUGGAUUUGAAGGGUUGUUUGCUGGCAUUCGAGAAAUGUAGGAGGAUAAAACCUCUCAGAAGAGCAGGAUAACCUCUUUUAUUAAGACCCUGGGAAAGCACAUACUAUUAAGGCAAACACAGUUUUGGAGGAAACAAAGGAGUAACAAGAUUGUUAAAAUGGUGGAACUGAGCUGUCUACCACGUUGUUGAGUGACAUCCAUUUUUCACAGCAACAAGCAUAGAAGUUUACAUCCAGCAGUGCUUUAAGAUUAAAUUUUCAGGAUGACAACAGUACCUAAAUUAGAGAAGAUGCCUUUAAGGUUUGCACUGGAAAAACAGAAUACUACUAAACUGGAAGAUUUACCACGUUGAGGCUUACACACUAUGGCACUCGGUAUCAUACAUUUGGACCUUUGCAUCUUAUGUCCAAAGAAAUGGACCCAAGAGCUCUUCCAAAUGAUGCUAUGAAGACCAGAAAGUAAUCUCAGUGUUUAUCAGCCAGACCCCUGAACAGGGUGCUGAGGUCCAGCAUUUAAGACAUGUCUUGGAUUCUUCUCUCUGAGGAUGAAGUAUUGCAGUGCUGCUGCUCACAGCCUGUGAUAAGGGUCAGCUGUAGGUAGGAAAAAAUGGCUGAUAACUGGCACAUCUAAUUGAGAUUCCAGCCCCUGUGAGGGUUUUUCCUUCUUGGGAAAAUACAGUCAGUAGCAGACAGAUUUCUAAUGUAGGUUUAUAGGGAUGCUGGAACCAGUGUAGAGUGGAAAAAAGGAUUUCAAACCACAUCUAACAGAAAUAUACAAUCUCAAAAUUUUCACAUUAGAUUUCCCUCUUAAAAUAAAGGGUUAGAACCCAUUCACGACCUCUGAAGAAACCUAGGCUCUUUGACAGUCUCUAUGCAGUCAUUUCUUUAUACCUUCUUCUUACCCUUCAGCCCAGAGCUUCACGGUUAGAAGCAGCAUUUCAUAUGACUCUGUGUCUUAGUCAAAUGGUUUACUUCCAAAUGGCUAUCACAAAGAUUUCAUUUUUCCUUUCUUAAGAGGGCAUAUGCUCCUACCAACUCAAACCCUGAGUCUGAAGUAUCUCUUCAUCUAUAAUAAAGGCAUAUCACAGCAGUUACAGAUACAGACAGCGUGUCAAUAAAAAAACAGGACCACAGACUACAGCCCUAUUUUGUUACAGCUUUGUAUCUCUGAAGGUCUGCAAGGAGGGAAAGGAGGAAUCAAUAUGUGCAGACAGCAGGAAUACUGAGUGCAGACAGCAGGAAUACUGAGUAGCAGCCUGGGUGGACAGACACAGCUCUCCAAAGGGUGGAGGAGAGGCAGGGGAAAUGGAAAAUCAUGAAGUAGAAUAGAAAACCCACAGACCCGUGAAAACUCCUCUUCAAAGAUUUUGUCCCCAUGUCAUGCAGAGAAAAUACACAGAAAAUUUAUUUCUAGAGGAAAACAUCUGUAUUCAACUAAAAUUAUGGAUCAGUACAUACUUUAGUAACUAAUGGUAAUACACCAGUAUUUUACUUGUAGUGAAAUAAUCAUUAAAAGAGGAGGUAACUGAGUGUUAAAUACAACUAAAACUGAAAGCAUCAAAAGCACUGAAAAAUGUGUUAUCCAAGUACCCCUGGAUCUGUCCAAAAGCUAUUCAGUGCAAAAACCACCACCACCACCACCAACAACAAAAACAAACCAGUUCAGUAACUCUGAG
Non-coding RNA from Cyanistes caeruleus (blue tit), 2079 nucleotides. The record is from RefSeq and is a predicted model, not a curated record. NCBI's taxonomy places the organism in Eukaryota, Metazoa, Chordata, Aves, Passeriformes, Paridae.